AUUGAACGCUGGCGGCAGGCCUAACACAUGCAAGUCGAACGAGUGGCGGACGGGUGAGUAAUGUCUGGGAAACUGCCCGAUGGAGGGGGAUAACUACUGGAAACGGUAGCUAAUACCGCAUACCAUCGGAUGUGCCCAGAUGGGAUUAGCUAGUAGGUGGGGUAACGGCUCACCUAGGCGACGAUCCCUAGCUGGUCUGAGAGGAUGACCAGCCAAACUGGAAUGGAGACACGGUCCAGACGCCUACGGGAGGAAGAAGUGGGGAACAUUGCAAAAUGGGCGCAAGCCUGAUGCAGCAAUGCGGCGGGGAGGAAGAAGGCCUUCGGGUUGUAAAGUACUUUCAGCGAGGAGGCGGUACUCGCAGAAGAAGCACCGGCUAACUCCGUGCCAGCAGCCGCGGUAAUUC
This 406-nucleotide ribosomal RNA is filed under the name uncultured bacterium. RNAcentral's name for it is "partial 16S ribosomal RNA". It matches the Rfam family "Bacterial small subunit ribosomal RNA", at positions 29 to 526 of the family's 1533-position model. The record is from RNAcentral.